GAACGCUGGCGGCAGGCCUAACACAUGCAAGUCGAACGCCCUAGCAAUAGGGAGUGGCAGACGGGUGAGUAACACGUGGGAACCUUCCCAAUAGUACGGAAUAGCCCAGGGAAACUUGGAGUAAUACCGUAUACGCCCGAAAGGGGAAAGAUUUAUCGCUAUUGGAUGGGCCCGCGUUGGAUUAGCUAGUUGGUGAGGUAAUGGCUCACCAAGGCGAUGA
Molecule: ribosomal RNA, 220 nt
Filed under: uncultured Hyphomicrobium sp.
Lineage: Bacteria; Pseudomonadati; Pseudomonadota; Alphaproteobacteria; Hyphomicrobiales; Hyphomicrobiaceae
Description: partial 16S ribosomal RNA
Rfam family: Bacterial small subunit ribosomal RNA
Source: RNAcentral